CAAGAUGGCUGCGCCCACUGGCUUCGCUGGGGGGGAGGGGCUGUUACUCACACGCGCCGGUCUGGGUUCAGAUCAAUUCUGUUCUCUGGUCUCCUGAGACCCUUGAUUUAUAGGGUCCCCGCGGAUAGAAGCUUUCCCCCCCAUCAGCGGGUUUCCACUGAACCAGCAGCAGGAGUCCUGGAUGAUCCCCCAGUUGCGCAGCCCCUCCCCCGCUCCUUCCCGACCUGCACAGCAGCGAUCUCAGACUCUAGGAGAGGGAGUGAUGUUCUCUCCUACCGUUCCAGUGCCUCCAAGGCUGAAAGUGAGCUCAGAGAGAGUUACAGUUUAUUUCCAUCAAAAGCUCAAUGAGAAUUUGCAAGAUAAAAGGCCAGUGCUUAUUAAUGACUGAGAGAGUAAUUUAAAGCAACAUGAUGAUCCCGCGGACAUGCUCCAGAUACAGCCCAGCUCAUCUGAAUUCAGCAUGGCUGAAACAACAAGGUCUAGCUGGCAGUUAAAAAGCCUCCAGUUUUAUUCCCCUGAAAGGCUUUUCAGAGGCUGACCCUGCCAACUUAUACUAAUGUGUUCAAUCCUACACAUCAUUCAGGUAGCAGCCUCUUAAACACAAGCAGGCUAGAGUCUGUCAUUAACUUCCGAAUUCUCUCUACUUCCAUCUUGACUUGGCCACACAGACUACAGGAGAGGUAGAUCCAGAGAGACACUGUUCUAGAGGAUGUUGAUGCUCUCACACAAAUAUCUGCCCUUCUUGGAGGAUGAUACAUCUGGAGAUGGAGAUCAAAAAGAUAGCUGAGGCAGUGCCACCUGGCCGGUGAGGCUAUAUCCUUUAUCACAUCACAAAUCAUCCUAAAUUAUUUACCAGUUGCUUUUCCUACCAGACUGCACCAGUUCUGGAGCCAGACCCUCUGGGUUAGAGCCCGGCUUCAUCACUCUUGGGCAAGUCACUUAUCCUCUCUCUAACUCAGUUUCCACAUCUGUAACAUGAACACAAUGCUCACCUCCUGGGGUUGUUGUAACGAUUAACUGAACCAAUUCUUAUAGAACAAAGUCUAUCAAAUACUUGGGGAUGAUGGUGGUGGUGUUGAAAGGGAUCAGAUCUUUGUGUCUGUACUCCCAAUGACUCACCAAGUGCUUAACCCACAGGAGAGACUUGAAAACCAUGCUAAUUUUGUAGCCUUGGGCAAGGCAUUUAAACUCUCUGAGCAGAAAAGAAACUUGUGGUGGGGAUGCGUAGGAGAGAGAGAGCACACACAGAUGAAACAAGAUAGGCAAAUAUCAGCAAUUCUUGAGUCUGGGUUUCAUGGGGUUUCAUUACACUAUUUUCUCAAUUCUUAUGUAUGUUUAAAUAUCCAACAGUAAAAUUUAAGUGAAA
RNAcentral lists this long non-coding RNA (1366 nucleotides) under Equus caballus (horse). Its description in RNAcentral is "lncRNA (ENSECAG00000057189.1)". The record is from RNAcentral. Lineage: Eukaryota; Metazoa; Chordata; Mammalia; Perissodactyla; Equidae.